UUCUUUCUGGUGGUUGGGGCGGAUAUGCUGCUGCUCCUUCAUGUUUCUUCCUUCAUACUGUAGGCUCUGUUGUAUAUGCUUCUUCUUGGUAUUUACCAUACUUAGACAAAAGGUUGAUACUGCCAUGGUGGCCACAUUGAAAAAUAAAGCUGGUUAUAUGGAAGUCAAGCGUGGCACUAAUGUAAGAUUAAAGGAAUGGAUAAAGUGGGUUGUAGCUAAAAAAAUACCUUAGAUUCUGUGUUGGUGCUUUGUUCAUCAUCUUGGUGUUUGUCCGCCGCUGAAGGUUCUGUUUUCUCUUCCAUUGUAGGUUUGCUUUGAAUAUGCGACAAAGAAUGGAUCAGGGGGAUUGAAUUGGUUUGUUGUUUAAGAAUUGUUUGAGAAAUUUAUGUAUGAG
This 394-nucleotide long non-coding RNA is filed under the name Gossypium raimondii (Peruvian cotton). RNAcentral describes it as "long non-coding RNA (GRAI_LNC010751)". Lineage: Eukaryota; Viridiplantae; Streptophyta; Magnoliopsida; Malvales; Malvaceae. The record is from RNAcentral.